This 316-nucleotide small nuclear RNA is filed under the name Sorex araneus (European shrew). RNAcentral describes it as "7SK RNA (ENSSARG00000018150.1)". It matches the Rfam family "7SK RNA", at positions 1 to 275 of the family's 331-position model. Rfam says of the family: 7SK was discovered as an abundant small nuclear RNA in the mid-70s but a possible function has only recently been suggested. Two independent studies have found that 7SK RNA binds the CDK9/cyclin T complex (known as elongation factor P-TEFb). Lineage: Eukaryota; Metazoa; Chordata; Mammalia; Eulipotyphla; Soricidae. The record is from RNAcentral.
AGAUGUGAGGGCUACCUGGCUGCGAUAUCUGUCACUCCAUUGAUCGCAGGGUUGAUUCGGCUGAUCUGGCUGGCUCGGCGGGUGUCCCCUUCCUCCCUCACCGCUCCAGGUGUUUCCCUGCGUGCUCCGUGGAAGAGGAUGGCCUUUCCAGGAUAGAGACUGACAGGUCUUCAUUAGAGGAUAUAUGAGUGGCUGUGCUCCCCUGCAAGAACCUCCAAACAAGCUCUUAAAUAACAACAACAACAACAAUAAUAAUAAUUUCCCAGAUUACAAACAUCCCAUUGCAUAUCCAGAGAAAGCUUGGAAUAUUAAGAUA